UGAGGAAUAUUGGUCAAUGGACGAGAGUCUGAACCAGCCAAGUAGCGUGAAGGAUGAAGGUCCUACGGAUUGUAAACUUCUUUUAUAAGGGAAUAAACCCUCCCACGUGUGGGAGCUUGUAUGUACCUUAUGAAUAAGCAUCGGCUAACUCCGUGCCAGCAGCCGCGGUAAUACGGAGGAUGCGAGCGUUAUCCGGAUUUAUUGGGUUUAAAGGGAGCGCAGACGGGUCGUUAAGUCAGCUGUGAAAGUUUGGGGCUCAACCUUAAAAUUGCAGUUGAUACUGGCGUCCUUGAGUGCGGUUGAGGUGUGCGGAAUUCGUGGUGUAGCGGUGAAAUGCUUAGAUAUCACGAAGAACUCCGAUUGCGAAGGCAGCACACUAAGCCGUAACUGACGUUCAUGCUCGAAAGUGUGGGUAUCAAACAGGAUUAGAUACCCUGGUAGUCCACACGGUAAACGAUGGAUACUCGCUGUUGGCGAUAUACGGUCAGCGGCUUAGCGAAAGCGUUAAGUAUCCCACCUGGGGAGUACGCCGGCAACGGUGAAACUCAAAGGAAUUGACGGGGGCCCGCACAAGCGGAGGAACAUGUGGUUUAAUUCGAUGAUACGCGAGGAACCUUACCCGGGCUUAAAUUGCAAAGGAAUUGCGUGGAAACAUGCAAGUCUUCGGACCUUUGUGAAGGUGCUGCAUGGUUGUCGUCAGCUCGUGCCGUGAGGUGUCGGCUUAAGUGCCAUAACGAGCGCAACCCUCGCCGCCAGUUACUAACAGUUAAAGCUGAGGACUCUGGCGGGACUGCCAUCGUAAGAUGUGAGGAAGGUGGGGAUGACGUCAAAUCAGCACGGCCCUUACGUCCGGGGCUACACACGUGUUACAAUGGGCGGUACAGAAGGCAGCUACCUGGCGACAGGAUGCCAAUCCCGAAAGCCGCUCUCAGUUCGGACUGGAGUCUGCAACCCGACUCCACGAAGCUGGAUUCGCUAGUAAUCGCGCAUCAGCCACGGCGCGGUGAAUACGUUCCC
This 1017-nucleotide ribosomal RNA is filed under the name uncultured bacterium. RNAcentral describes it as "bacterial SSU rRNA". It matches the Rfam family "Bacterial small subunit ribosomal RNA", at positions 355 to 1375 of the family's 1533-position model. The record is from RNAcentral.